GCCUUUGUGUCUUCUAA
This 17-nucleotide small RNA is filed under the name Arabidopsis thaliana (thale cress). RNAcentral's name for it is "ATSL138400". Lineage: Eukaryota; Viridiplantae; Streptophyta; Magnoliopsida; Brassicales; Brassicaceae. The record is from RNAcentral.